UACGAAGGGGGCUAGCGUUGCUCGGAAUUACUGGGCGUAAAGGGCGCGUAGGCGGAUAUUUAAGUUGGGGGUGAAAUCCCGGGGCUCAACCUCGGAAUUGCCUUCAAAACUGGAUAUCUUGAGUUCGGGAGGGGUGAGUGGAACUCCGAGUGUAGAGGUGAAAUUCGUAGAUAUUCGGAAGAACACCAGUGGCGAAGGCGACUCACUGGCCCGAUACUGACGCUGAGGCGCGAAAGCGUGGGGAGCAAACAGG
Molecule: ribosomal RNA, 253 nt
Filed under: uncultured bacterium
Lineage: Bacteria
Description: partial 16S ribosomal RNA
Rfam family: Bacterial small subunit ribosomal RNA
Source: RNAcentral